CACCGCCCGUCGCUCCUACCGAUUGAAUGGUCCGGUGAAGUGUUCGGAUCGCGGCGACGGGGGCGGUUCGCCGCCCCCGACGUCGCGAGAAGUCCAUUGAACCUUAUCAUUUAGAGGAAGGAGAAGUCGUAACAAGGUUUCCGUAGGUGAACCUACGGAAG
This 161-nucleotide ribosomal RNA is filed under the name Aegilops tauschii subsp. strangulata. Its description in RNAcentral is "rRNA SSU_rRNA_eukarya". It matches the Rfam family "Eukaryotic small subunit ribosomal RNA", at positions 1667 to 1823 of the family's 1831-position model. Lineage: Eukaryota; Viridiplantae; Streptophyta; Magnoliopsida; Poales; Poaceae. The record is from Rfam by way of RNAcentral.